GAUGAACGCUAGCUACAGGCUUAACACAUGCAAGUCGAGGGGCAGCAUGAUUGAAGCUUGCUUCAAUCGAUGGCGACCGGCGCACGGGUGAGUAACACGUAUCCAACCUGCCGAUAACUCGGGGAUAGCCUUUCGAAAGAAAGAUUAAUACCCGAUAGUAUAGUAUUUCCGCAUGGUUUCACUAUUAAAGAACUUCGGUUAUCGAUGGGGAUGCGUUCCAUUUGAUAGUUGGCGGGGUAACGGCCCACCAAGUCAACGAUGGAUAGGGGUUCUGAGAGGAAGGUCCCCCACAUUGGAACUGAGACACGGUCCAAACUCCUACGGGAGGCAGCAGUGAGGAAUAUUGGUCAAUGGACGAGAGUCUGAACCAGCCAAGUAGCGUGAAGGAUGACUGCCCUAUGGGUUGUAAACUUCUUUUAUACGGGAAUAAAGUGGAGUAUGCAUACUCCUUUGUAUGUACCGUAUGAAUAAGGAUCGGCUAACUCCGUG
This 489-nucleotide ribosomal RNA is filed under the name uncultured bacterium. RNAcentral describes it as "partial 16S ribosomal RNA". It matches the Rfam family "Bacterial small subunit ribosomal RNA", at positions 28 to 507 of the family's 1533-position model. The record is from RNAcentral.